GUGAGACUUUGCUGAAUACAAAUAUGUGUAUUUUAUUGCAGUAAAAGCAAACAGUAUUGUGACACUGACCGUUUAAUUGUCAUGUAGAACUAAAAAAAUCCAAUAAAAUCGUAUUUUCUCCCAUUUUUUUCAUAUUAAAUUAUGUUUCAUAGUUAAAUAUUUGAUAUUAAAUGAAAGCCCUGUUUCCCCUGAAUAAAAUGAUAUAUAAUAAGG
Molecule: long non-coding RNA, 213 nt
Filed under: Pelobates cultripes (western spadefoot toad)
Lineage: Eukaryota; Metazoa; Chordata; Amphibia; Anura; Pelobatidae
Source: RNAcentral